Oncorhynchus nerka (sockeye salmon) is the source of this 2778-nucleotide long non-coding RNA. RefSeq lists it as uncharacterized. Lineage: Eukaryota; Metazoa; Chordata; Actinopteri; Salmoniformes; Salmonidae. The transcript has 2 exons. The record is from RefSeq and is a predicted model, not a curated record.
GCAGCCUAGCGGUAAGAUCGGCAGGCAGCCUAGAGGUAAGACCGGCAGGCAGCCUAGAGGUAAGGCAGUGACACUUUGGAGUUGUACUGUAUACUCAAGUCAUUUGAUCAUUCUUAGAUUUAUUGAGUUGUUUAAAAUAAUUUGUUUUAUUUAAUACUUCUGUUGAAUAGUUUGAACUGGAAGCUACAACCUUCGGACUUCACAAUGAUGGUAAGACAUUACAUUUAUUUGUUUUCUUAUUGCAUAUUUUGUAUGUGUACUUCAAUAUUAAACUGGUAGAUGGUAGAUUUUGUUUGAAAUUUGAUAAAAUUAUAGUUUAAAGGAGCAAUUUGCAGUUAGAAAUAUAACAAUGCAACACCCCACCACUGUUUUGUGAAACGGCUGAGGGAUGGGGCUGGAGAAAUGUAACCACUCUCAAAUGUUGGACAACGACGAAGUCCAACGUCUCAACUGAGGGUUCCAUUUGCACCAUCUGCAUCACUGUCACCUGUCCAGGCCUAGUGUGACAUGGACACUGAUUACAAAAAAGUUCACUGAGAGUAGCACAUCACUAUUUCUGUAUCUUUGACAUCCUUACAAAUACUGAAAAAUACAGUAGCUCUCUCCUCUCUCUCUCUCUGUGUGUGUGUGUGUGUGUGUGUGUGUGUGUGUGUGUGUGUGUGUGUGUGUGUGUGUGUGUGUGUGUGUGUGUGUGUGUGUGUGUGUGUGUGUGUGUGUGUUUGUGUACCAGAGGAAAAUGGACGGCACUGUGAACUUCUACAGACCCUGGGACCAGUACAAAACUGGUUCUGGAAACAUCUGGAGAGGUGAGUGAGAGGCUGGGUGAGACUUCUGGAGAGUCCUGGCUGGGUGAUACUUCUGGAGAGUCCUGGCUGGGUGAUACUUCUGGAGAGUCCUGGCUGGGUGAUACUUCUGGAGAGUCCUGGCUGGGUGAUACUUCUGGAGAGUCCUGGCUGGGUGAGACUUCUGGAGAGUCCUGGCUGGGUGAGACUUCUGGAGAGUCCUGGCUGGGUGAGACUUCUGGAGAGUCCUGGCUGGGUGAGACUUCUGGAGAGUCCUGGCUGGGUGAGUGUUUACUUCAUAGAAACAUGCUCUGUCUGGAGAGUCCUGGCUGUGUGAGAGUUUACUUCAUAGAAACAUGCUAUGUCUGGAGAGUCCUGGCUGGAUGAGAGUUUACUUCAUAGAAACAUGCUCUGUCUGGAGAGUCCUGGCUGGGUGAGAGUUUACUUCAUAGAAACAUGCUAUGUUUAGAGAGUCCUGGCUGGGUGAGAGUUUACAUCAUAGAAACAUGCUCUGUCUGGAGAGUCCUGGCUGGGUGAGAGUUUACUUCAUAGAAACAUGCUCUGUCUGGAGAGUCCUGGCUGGGUGAGAGUUUACUUCAUAGAAACAUGCUCUGUCUGGAGAGUCCUGGCUGGGUGAGAGUUUACUUCAUAGAAACAUGCUCUGUCUGGAGAGUCCUGGCUGGAUGAGAGUUUACUUCAUAGAAACAUGAGGAAACAUCAAUUCUUCAGGACUGGAGAACAUCCACCUCCUUACUAAGAAGGAAGAAGGGUGGACAUGGAUGACUUUGAGGAAAACAGAGAGACUCAGAGGCUGACGGCUACAAGAUGCACGUCACUGGCUUCCAAAAAUGGAAGUGCAGGGACUCACUGAAGCUUCUUAACCGGAUAGAAAUGAACCGCCUUCGACAAAGACAAUGACGCUCCACCUCAGAAUUUUGCAAGUAGAUAAUAUGCUGCAUUUUGGUAUAUGAGUUGUCACAAUGCAAACGUCAACAGAUUGUACUUAUGGGGAAAGACACUAUGUUACUACUGUUAACUGGGCUACAUGGAAAAGUUAUUUUAUUGGAUUUUUCUUGGCCAUCUCUAUGAAGGUCAGACCAGUGUCAGACCACUGAAGAGAAGCCAGCCAGCAGGGUCUCCCAAUGUCUGUUGCAGGGGCUUAGACCCGCUACUCUGACAUUACAGUGUCUCAUUAAUCAUCCAAUCAUUGCCACCUGUAUCAGAUGAGACGUGGGAUAUCUGUUUUAUAAAUGUUGUGUGUGCUUCUGACCUGACAACUUUAACUUUAUCUACAAACAUUGUGUUGAUGACGAGCGGGACCCUGCCUUCUGGCGAUGCAGGUAAAUGUUUAAGGGUUAUCACAUCUUUACUGUCCUCUUGUUGUGUAAUGCAACCGUAUGCAACCAUAUGCAGUCAUUACAGUGCGCACAUUCCAUACAGAUUUUCAGUACCUUUCAUAAUGACUAGGUUGCAGUACCUUUCAUAAUGACUAGGUUGCAGUACCUUUCAUAAUGACUAGGUUGCAGUACCUUUCAUAAUGACUAGGUUGCAGUACCUUUCAUAAUGACUAGGUUGCAGUACCUUUCAUAAUGACUAGGUUGCAGACUGCACUCUCCUAUCUGAAACAAUCAUGUCUAGCGUCACACUUUUUGAUGAAGGGGCCUGCUUCGUGUUACGGAGAGGCAAUAGUUAGUGGAGUAGUCUAUCAAAUGUAGGUCCUUUGGCAGUUAUCAUUGCCAGACCGAAUGCCUCGAAUAGCAUGUCAUUAGCUACUUUGACCCUGCAUGACACAAUAAUUGCAGCACUAAAGGAAGGCAAUGGAAAGGAUCUGAAUGUCACGCGUAGUGUGAAGUCCCUGGGCGGAAUGAAAGUAUGUUUACAUUUGCUGACUAAAACGAGGACUGUUGUUUAUGGACUAUCCAGUAUGAAAGUAUUUGUUUUACUUUUUGACCACGAGCAAAAUACACCCAAUAAAUAAAACGUAUGAACAAAGGUA